UAAGUUCCGACCUGCACGAAUGGUGUAACGAUCUGGACACUGUCUCAGCCAUGAGCUCGGUGAAAUUGUAGUAUCGGUGAAGAUGCCGAUUACCCGCUAUGGGACGAAAAGACCCCGUGAACCUUUACUAUAGCUUAGUAUUGACUUUGGAUAAGUAAUGUGUAGGAUAGGUGGGAGACUUUGAAGCAGCGUCGCUAGGUGUUGUGGAGUCACCGUUGAAAUACCACCCUUUGCUUAUCUAGAGCCUAACCCCUAGCGGGGGACAGUGCUUGGUGGGUAGUUUGACUGGGGUGGUCGCCUCCAAAAGCGUAACGGAGGCUUCUAAAGGUACCCUCAGCACGCUUGGUAACCGUGCGUAGAGUGCAAUGGCAUAAGGGUGCUUGACUGUGAGACUGACAAGUCGAACAGGUUGGAAACAAGAGCAUAGUGAUCCGGUGGUUCCGUAUGGAAGGGCCAUCGCUCAAAGGAUGAAAGGUACUGCGGGGAUGGGGGGCUGCUCGCCCCCAAGAGCUCACGUCGACGGGGGGGUUUGGCACC
RNAcentral lists this ribosomal RNA (537 nucleotides) under Phycisphaerales bacterium. RNAcentral describes it as "partial 23S ribosomal RNA". It matches the Rfam family "Bacterial large subunit ribosomal RNA", at positions 1977 to 2525 of the family's 2925-position model. The record is from RNAcentral. Lineage: Bacteria; Pseudomonadati; Planctomycetota; Phycisphaerae; Phycisphaerales.